GAGUUUGAUCGUGGCUCAGGAUGAACGCUGGCGGCGUGCUUAACACAUGCAAGUCGAACGAAGCACUCAGGAGCGAUUUCGGUCAAUCCUGUUUGACUGAGCGGCGGACGGGUGAGUAACGCGUGAGUAACCUACCUCGCAGUGGGGAAUAACAGUUGGAAACGACUGCUAAUACCGCAUAAUGCAGAGAGACCGCAUGAUCUUUCUGCCAAAGAUUUAUCGCUGUGAGAUGGACUCGCGUCUGAUUAGCUAGUUGGUGAGGUAACGGCUCACCAAGGCGACGAUCAGUAGCCGGACUGAGAGGUUGACCGGCCACAUUGGGACUGAGACACGGCCCAGACUCCUACGGGAGCAGCAGUGGGAAUAUGGCAAUGGGCGCAAGCCUGACCCAGCAACGCCGCGUGAAGG
RNAcentral lists this ribosomal RNA (408 nucleotides) under bacterium enrichment culture clone ALO1_GLFRUDD03G2D9B. RNAcentral's name for it is "bacterial SSU rRNA". It matches the Rfam family "Bacterial small subunit ribosomal RNA", at positions 9 to 407 of the family's 1533-position model. The record is from RNAcentral.